This 305-nucleotide ribosomal RNA is filed under the name uncultured bacterium. Its description in RNAcentral is "bacterial SSU rRNA". It matches the Rfam family "Bacterial small subunit ribosomal RNA", at positions 336 to 657 of the family's 1533-position model. The record is from RNAcentral.
UUCCUACGGGGGGCAGCAGUGGGGGAUAUUGCACAAUGGGGGGAACCCUGAUGCAGCGACGCCGCGUGGGUGAAGGAGCGUUUCGGCGCGUAAAGCUCUAUCAGUAGGGAAGAAGAAAGACGGUACCUGACUAAGAAGCCCCGGCUAACUACGUGCCAGCAGCCGCGGUAAUACGUAGGGGGCAAGCGUUAUCCGGAUUUACUGGGUGUAAAGGGAGCGUAGACGGCAUAGCAAGUCUGAAGUGAAAGCCCGUGGCUCAACCGCGGAACUGCUUUGGAAACUGUUAAGCUGGAGUACUGGAGAGG